GGGGGCGAUCGGUUUCGACGGGAUAUGAGACAUGUCGGACUGCAUGCGGAGGACGUCAGUACCCUCCUAAAUCAUCUGACAAACCAAUAUAUGCCGAUUACGGCUAUAUGGCUGCUGCUUAAUUGACGCAGCCCGUUCCGGGUUAGAUGCGCCUAUGGUCUGAUCUAGGAACGUCGCUCACGUAGGCUGGUUCCGAAUGCGCCUGCGGUUUCGGAACGAGAUUCAGCAGGCUGGCCCUGUUUACUUGGGUCUCCGGUUGAAAACAGGGUAAGAUAAAAAUCGGAAGACUAAGCAUGUAGACGUCCUGCAUCACUCUAUUUCGGACGGGAGUUCGAUUCUCCCCGCCUCCACAA
This 353-nucleotide transfer-messenger RNA is filed under the name bacterium. RNAcentral describes it as "UBA1611 sp012964275 Standard tmRNA". It matches the Rfam family "transfer-messenger RNA". Rfam says of the family: Bacterial tmRNA, also known as 10Sa RNA or SsrA, is named for its dual tRNA and mRNA-like properties. Its role is to liberate the mRNA from a stalled ribosome. To accomplish this part of the tmRNA is used as a reading frame that ends in a translation stop signal. RNAcentral also lists the same sequence under 1 other name. The record is from RNAcentral.